Molecule: ribosomal RNA, 395 nt
Filed under: uncultured bacterium
Lineage: Bacteria
Description: partial 16S ribosomal RNA
Rfam family: Bacterial small subunit ribosomal RNA
Source: RNAcentral
AUACGUAGGGUGCAAGCGUUAAUCGGAAUUACUGGGCGUAAAGCGUGCGCAGGCGGUUUUGUAAGACAGAGGUGAAAUCCCCGGGCUCAACCUGGGCACUGCCUUUGAGACUGCAAGGCUAGAGUACGGCAGAGGGGGAUGGAAUUCCCCGUGUAGCAGUGAAAUGCGUAGAUAUGCGGAGGAACACCGAUGGCGUAGGCAAUCCCCUGCGCCUGUACUGACGCUCAUGCACGAAAGCGUGGGCAUCAAUCAGGAUUAGAUACCCUGUUAGUCCACUCCCUAAACGACGUCAACUGGUUGUUUGGUCUUCAUUGACUCAGUAACGAAGCUAACGCGUUAAGUUGAACCCCUGGAGAGUACGGCCGCAAGGUUGAAACUCAAAUGAAUUGACGGGG